This 365-nucleotide unclassified non-coding RNA is filed under the name Chytridiomycota sp. RNAcentral's name for it is "partial contains small subunit ribosomal RNA, internal transcribed spacer 1, and 5.8S ribosomal RNA". The stretch from base 1 to 47 matches the Rfam family "Eukaryotic small subunit ribosomal RNA", at positions 1785 to 1831 of the family's 1831-position model. The record is from RNAcentral. Lineage: Eukaryota; Fungi; Chytridiomycota.
AAAGUCGUAACAAGGUAACCGUAGGUGAACCUGCGGUUGGAUCAUUAACAAAUUCCAAACCAAAAAAAAAACCCCCUUGGAAAAAAGAGCCAGUGCGCUCGUUUUUUCUCGGGGUUUUUUUUAUACCCCCACACUUUAUGUGAACCGUAUUUGCGUUUUUGGGGCGAUAUUUCGAAUGGAGACAUUCGAGUCGCCCGUGUGGAUCCCCCGUUCACAGUUUCGUUGACCGGGGCGAGUACACAACAAAAACAUAUUUUUACAAACUUACAUUUAAUCUGAAAUCAUAUUGUUUCUAUUUUGAGGCCGCCGUGCGCGCCCAAAAUAUAACCAUAAAAAAACUUUUGACAACGGAUCUCUUGGCUCUC